CCUACGGGUGGCAGCAGUGAGGAAUAUUGGUCAAUGGGCGCGAGCCUGAACCAGCCAAGUCGCGUGAAGGAUGACUGCCCUAUGGGUUGUAAACUUCUUUUAUCUGGGAAUAAAGUGCACUACGUAUGCUGCUUUUCAUGUACCUUAUGAAUAAGGAUCGGCUAACUCCGUGCCAGCAGCCGCGGUAAUACGGGGGGUCCGAGCGUUAUCCGGAUUUAUUGGGUUUAAAGGGAGCGUAGGGGGGUUGUUAAGUCAGUUGUGAAAGUUGGGGGCUCAACCGUAAAAUUGCAGUUGAUACUGGCAGCCUUGAGUACAGGAGAGGUAGGCGGAAUGCGUGGUGUAGCGGUGAAAUGCUUAGAUAUCACGAAGAACUCCGAUUGCGAAGGCAGCCUGCUGGACUGUAACUGACGCUGAUGCUCGAAAGUGUGGGUAUCAAACAGGAUUAGAUACCCUAGUAGUC
RNAcentral lists this ribosomal RNA (460 nucleotides) under uncultured bacterium. RNAcentral's name for it is "partial 16S ribosomal RNA". It matches the Rfam family "Bacterial small subunit ribosomal RNA", at positions 338 to 795 of the family's 1533-position model. The record is from RNAcentral.